AUUGAACGCUGGCGGCAGGCUUAGCACAUGCAAGUCGAGCGGAGAUGAGGUGCUUGCACCUUAUCUUAGCGGCGGACGGGUGAGUAAUGCUUAGGAAUCUGCCCAUUAGUGGGGGACAACAUUCCGAAAGGAAUGCUAAUACCGCAUACGUCCUACGGGAGAAAGCAGGGGCUCUUCGGACCUUGCGCUAAUCGAUGAGCCUAAGUCGGAUUAGCUAGUUGGUGGGGUAAAGGCCUACCAAGGCGACGAUCUGUAGCGGGUCGGAGAGGAUGAUCCGCCACACUGGGACUGAGACACGGCCCAGACUCCUACGGGAGGCAGCAGUGGGGAAUAUUGGACAAUGGGGGGAACCCUGAUCCAGCCAUGCCGCGUGUGUGAAGAAGGCCUUAUGGUUGUAAAGCACUUUAAGCGAGGAGGAGGCUACUGAGACUAAUACUCUUGGAUAGUGGACGUUACUCGCAGAAUAAGCACCGGCUAACUCUGUGCCAGCCGCCGCAGUAA
RNAcentral lists this ribosomal RNA (501 nucleotides) under uncultured bacterium. RNAcentral describes it as "partial 16S ribosomal RNA". It matches the Rfam family "Bacterial small subunit ribosomal RNA", at positions 30 to 523 of the family's 1533-position model. The record is from RNAcentral.